Peromyscus maniculatus bairdii (prairie deer mouse) is the source of this 1355-nucleotide non-coding RNA. The record is from RefSeq and is a predicted model, not a curated record. NCBI's taxonomy places the organism in Eukaryota, Metazoa, Chordata, Mammalia, Rodentia, Cricetidae.
AGCUCAAAAGGCAUUCACAAAUCUCUGAGGCCAGUGAGGACCUUGGCAGCAUGGUUUUCAGGGAGUGUUCUGCGAGACCUCAGCCAUGCACUCUUUAGGGAGUUUGCCGCCAUCACUCAGGUGGGCUUAGAUGCGUCUUUGCCAUAGGACUCCAGUGGUCAGCUCUGGCAGUGUCCAUGUGGUAUUGACUAUGUGUGGAUACAGAGUGGUAGAACUAUGGGGGCAUGGCUUUCUCUUCUUAAAUCUUAGUCUAUUCUAGACAGUGUCAGGGCCUAGAGAGACUUGUUGCAGAGGCAGGGCUCUGCAGCUCCUACUAAAGCAGUGCAUAAUGGAGCCAGGAGAGUGUGGCUACUUCCAACUGUGGAGUGACCAGCACACAUUGCCAUCUGGGGAGAGCUGCAGGCAUGAGACUCCAACCUGUGGAAGCUGCUGAAUGGUCUGAGCUAAGUAAAGCCACGAGUGUGGGGCUACCUGAGGUUCUGGGGACUCUACAGUGUGUCCAAGAGGCAGAAUACUGAGGUACUCACUGCUCUUUGUUUUGUCAACUUGACACAAGCCAUGGUCAAUUGGGAAGAGUCACAGAAGCCGAACAGAAAGGCCUCUUUUCAAACAUGAGUAAUGGCCCCAUUCACCAGAAGUUGGUGGGAUCUGAUCCCAGCAGCACCAGUCAGCACACGAGUGACUCCAGAUGCCAAGGACACGGAGAAAUCAAGCCGGAACUAAGCUGGAAGCUGCCUCUCCUGUUCAGGCUGCCGGGAGAGAGAGCUCAUCGAUAGUCCUUACUCAGCGGUGAACUCUGCAUGCUGGGUUCUGUUGGAUGAAAUACAACCCACUGGUCCAAUAGUGGCGUGACCGCUUUGGGGGCAAUCAACCACUUUCUGGUUGGAUUGGAGGCACACUCUGAGGGAAGGAAUACACACUUGUUGCUGUAGACCAGAUCAAGACUCCCAGGCUAGGGAGGUCAUAGGGUCCACGGGGGAACCUACUACAUUUGGGUUUGCUGUUUUCUCCUUUCCAGAAGAAGAUGAUACAAUGAACUGCAGCAAACAUUUGUGUGAAUCCUCCAUCCAAGCUUGACUGAAUUUUGUGCCACCUGGUGGUAUUGGCAGAGGUUUCUUUAGUCUUAACUAUUCUUUCAGGGCCUCCUAGGCAGACAGUUUUAGUUUUCAGGUCAGUGUGGGCCUAUCAUUCCUGGCCCAUUUGUGUAUGACUCCAAAUGAACUAGAGAAUGGGAAGAUAUUACUUUUUUUCUCCCCUGGAGGACCCCCUAAAUUCCCAAUAGCAGCUCAACUAUUUAAUCUGAGAAUUGCAUGAAGCAUUUAAAAAAAAAAUAAAACAAAACAUCAUAAAUUUGA